RNAcentral lists this ribosomal RNA (404 nucleotides) under uncultured bacterium. Its description in RNAcentral is "partial 16S ribosomal RNA". It matches the Rfam family "Bacterial small subunit ribosomal RNA", at positions 28 to 434 of the family's 1533-position model. The record is from RNAcentral.
GACUAACGCUGGCGGUAUGCCUUAGACAUGCAAGUCGAACGAGUUUCCGGGCUUGCUCGGAAAUUAGUGGCGAACGGCUGAGUAACGCGUAGGUGACCUACCCCGUAGUGUGGAAUAACUGCCCGAAAGGGUAGCUAAUACCGCAUGUUGAGCCGACAUCGAUGUCGUCUCCAAAGCAGAAAUGCGCUAUGGGCGGGGCCUGCGUUCGAUUNNCCNNNNNANHNGGGUAAUGGCUCACCAAGGCGACGAUCGAUAGGUGGUCUGAGAGGACGAUCACCCAGACUGGGACUGAGACACGGCCCAGACUCCUACGGGAGGCAGCAGUCGGGAAUUUUGCGCAAUGGGGGAAACCCUGACGCAGCAAUACCGCGUGUGGGAUGAAGGCCUUCGGGUCGUAAACCACU